This 472-nucleotide ribosomal RNA is filed under the name uncultured bacterium. RNAcentral describes it as "partial 16S ribosomal RNA". It matches the Rfam family "Bacterial small subunit ribosomal RNA", at positions 28 to 507 of the family's 1533-position model. The record is from RNAcentral.
GACGAACGCUGGCGGCGUGCUUAACACAUGCAAGUCGAACGCUGAAGCUUGGUGCUUGCACUGGGUGGAUGAGUGGCGAACGGGUGAGUAAUACGUGAGUAACCUGCCCUUGACUCUGGGAUAAGCCUGGGACACUGGGUCUAAUACUGGAUACGACAUGUCACCGCAUGGUGGCGUGUGGAAAGGGUUUUACUGGUUUUGGAUGGGCUCACGGCCUAUCAGCUUGUUGGUGGGGUAAUGGCUCACCAAGGCGACGACGGGUAGCCGGCCUGAGAGGGUGACCGGACACACUGGGAGUGAGGUACGGCCGAGGAUCUUAUGGGAGGCAGCAGUGGGGAAUAGUGCACAAGCGGCGAACGCCUGAUGCAGCGACGCCGCGUGAGGGAUGACGGCCUUCGGGUUGUAAACCUCUUUCAGCACGGAAGAAGCGAAAGUGACGGUACGGGCAGAAGAAGCGCCGGCUAACUACGUG